AAUUUUUUCAUAUUUCUUAUAAAAAAUAUUUUUCUAUAAAAUGUGGAAAUUAUAUUUUUAUUUUUUUAUUUAAAAAUUCCAACCAAGAGGCAUCUUGUUAUCUUUUUCGUUGACCACAUUUUUUUCUUCAAACGAGCCCUAAAUAGCAAGGACUAGUAUAUUUGUAUGUGGUAUAUGUAAAUAUAUUUGUAUACCAUACAUACUACAUAUAUUAGUCUGGGUUCAGCUCGACCAAGGAGGGUCCAUGGGCAGGCAAUGGUUUAACCAAUCAAAACGAACCCCACGUACGGUGGAUGGUAAAAUUUGAGCGGCCAAAACCUAACUAUGGAUCAGUAGGAGAGGCCUCAGGUAAGCUAACCAUGUUCAGUGCCGACUAAAAUCAUAUACGCUCUGCAGAAUAGAUUUAAUAUGACUCCACGCAAGCUGAUGGACUGUUAUUUUUUUCAUAAAAAAAAAAAUUGUAGCCUCUGAAAAUAUUGGAGGAAAGACGGAAUCGGUACGGAGUAAAAUUGUUUCUCAAAUAACUUACGGUUUCUCUAUACAUGUCGGGCCUGCAUCAGUUCGGCUGGUGGGGUCAAGCUCAGGCUUUGACUAGAACAGCUAAGCGAGGCUAGACUUGGGUCUGAAUUUUUUUGGCUUGAUAUCAAGCGGUGGCAUGGCAGGAACACGCGGUAAUACCAACAGUGGUCGAUCAGUGGUUGUCAUGUGGUGUUAAAAAAUAAAAAUUAAAAAAAUAAGAAUAUAUUGGAAAAUGAAAUAAAUGAAGUUGAACCAAACCGGAGCCUUGCGGAUGGCAGCAAGGUUUCGCAUGGUGCUUAUGUUUUAUGUGGGAUCUUUUUCGGGCUUAUUAGGUUCGCGGAAAGCAUUGUUCCUUCUAAGAAUAUUGUUGGGGAAAAACUCAAGUCGCACUGGUUCGGAGGCGCUCGCCUAAGGAGCGCCAACCAGAGAGCGCCGAUCAGAAGACGCCCGAUCCGGAAAGCGCCCGAUCAGGGGGCCCCAACCUCGCAACACGGGAAAACCCAAGUAGCGCCCGACCAGAGCGCUCGACCAGAAAGCGUCCGAUCAGGAGACGCCGACCAGAACGCGCCGACCUCACGACGCUCGAGUCAAAGACACCCCACUGACCAACUGGUGCCGAGCCCUAAAGAUGCCUUGUCUAAAUAUUCGACCCCAGCCUAAUUCCUUAUAGAGAAUCUGACAACUAGAUUUCCAACUCCACCGUACUGUGCUACCGUCGUCAAGCCAUUAAGGCACGUGACCUCCGCAGGCCUCCGGCACACUCGAUCAUUAAUGCGUGACUCCUGCGGGCCUUCAGUGCACUCAUCCAUUAAAUGAACACGGCCCAAGAUGAUCUCCGGAUCACUGGACUAUCAAAGCGUAUGGCUCUUCCUGAUCACCGGUUCACUCAGCAAUUAAUGCACUUGCUAUCUACGAACCCCAAGCCCACCACGGCCGGUGGUUGAACCACUUCAAUAGGUCCGAUCAACCAUGACAAUUCGCUGGAUCCGGUCUGAUCCGGUCUCGUUCUCCACAACAUCAUUAAUGAGCAUGAUCGUGCCCAAUUAUCACGAAGAAGACAAUUUUCCCUGUCACCUCCAGGUAACAUAAUAUCCUUCUAUAAAAGGAAACCGGGGAAAAAGGAGGGACAGAAGAACAAACAUUCUCCUCUUUUACCACACUCAUAUACUAGCCCUCUCUGACUUAAGCAUCGGAGGGCCGGCGCCGGAGAUUCCGGCCACCGGCUUUUUGCAGGACUCUCCAGGAGGACGCCACCAUCUGACGCGCCGCCGCCCACCGUUCCAGCAGCGGAGCUCCUCCCCUCUCAGCUCGCGGCCGCUCCUAGGUCCAAUUUCCAGCAACAAAUAUGAUUAUUGGGAAAUAAAUUCUCAUGUUUUCAAGGAGAACAAGCGGACGGCAGGACGUCAGUGGACGUGAUAGGCCUAUUGGGGCCGACCAUCGAAAGUUUUCGGAUUGCUGUUUUUUUUUAUAUAUAUAUUUAUGACAAACGAGGUGGGCAAAGCAGCUGCCCAACUUUUAUUGAAGAGCAAAAUUAAUUAUAGUAAAAAAAAAGUUACAGUAGCAAGUAUAGAUUAGAUCAGCUGAGUAGACAACAUAAUAGAAACCGAGCAGUUAAGCAGCUGUAGAAAUAGAAAAGCAAAAAAAAAUUAAACAAAUGAAUGGUACAACUUUAGCUCAACAAAAUUAAGUUAUUUAUUUGCUCAAGUAUCAAUGUCGAACCCUAUUUAUCUGUUUGGUAGAGUAGGUAAUUUUUUUAUUUUAUGUUAGGUUUUUGUGUACUCAAGUACCGUUGUCGCGUUAUAUUUAUUUGUUUGGUAGGAUUGGUAAUUUUUUUAUUGUUUGGUAGGAUAGGUAAUUUUUUUAUUUUAUGUUAGGUUUUUGUGUACUCAAGUACCGAUGUCGCGUUCUAUUUAUCUGUUUAGUAGGAUAGGUAAUUUUUUAUUUUGCGUUAGGUAAGCGAUUUUACGUUAUAAAGGUUGGACUAUAAAUAAAAUAGUUGUAAAUAUUUUUUACCAUAAAUAAUUGUUUAUUUAUAAAAAUUUUGAUACAUAUUUUUUUGGCAUGAUCAUGAAAUGACACUAGUGAGCAUCAUGAUCAUUAGCCGAUGGUGCAGCUUUAGAAAAAUUUCUCUUUUUUUAAUCCAAGUAUAGUUUGCUAAAAGAUAAAAUCUUCUUCAGAUGACAGUAAAAAAUUUGCACUUCAAAAACAAAUGAUUUAUAGAUUGGACAAAGUGGCAACACGAUGCACAUCAUUUCAUAUUUUUUUCAAAACUUUUUUUAAUGCUAUCCUUAGUAUUGUACCAUUUUUUCCAACAAAAUUAUAGGGAGUAUUUUACUUUAAGUGUGGCACUGGAAGGUUCUAAAGUAAGAAGGCAGUUGUACUUUAUUCCUUUAGAAUUGAUGAGUUGAUAGUAGGAUGCGGAGGUGAACGUUGUUUUACUGCUUAGUUUUCAAAUAUUUUUAUCCUCAUCUCUAUUAAAUAUUAUCAAAAUAAGCAAAGAGAACAAUUGAUUUUGCUGUUAGAAGAUCUUUGCCAAUUGCUUGCUCGAUUGUUUAAGUUUUCACAAUAUAGUUUUGCAAUUUAAAAAAUUAGAUAUAGUGCCAUUUUUUUUUGUGUUGCGAGCAUAAAGGGUAGGGAGGAUCAAUUUGAGUGGUGCAUUUCAAAGCUAGUUCUUUCCAAAAAGAAGUGUUUUGGUGGUUGGCGAUCUUGAAGUGAAUUCGAUUCCAGAAGGCCAGGAGAGAAUAACAUCUUUCCAAAUGUUAGAGCAUCUUUUUGGCGGUUUCCAACACAUUAAUAGUUUUACUUUUUUAUAAUAUGCAAAUUUAAUUUGCUUUCUCCAAAUACCUGGGUUUUUCACAAUUGACGUUCAACCCCAUUUUGCUAAAAAUGCAUUACUAAACUAUUGAAUGUCCUUGAUUUCUAGCACUCUUUCAUUUGCAAGCAAACAGUCUUUCAACCUUAUAAAAGAAACUGUGAGUGAUAAAUAUACUAGUCCAGGAUAAAGCUCACCUACAUUUGCCAAUUCUUUUGGUCACCCAAGCUGGAGACAUGAAGUAUAGAGGCAAGAAUUGAAUUGAUCAAGGUAGUCCUACCUCUAAAAGGCAUAUACUCGCUUUUUCAUAAAGCCAAUCUAUUCUCACUGCCAAUCCAACUUAAGAAGAUUUUGCACCAUUGAGUGGCAAACCCAAGUACUUGAGAGGGGUUGAAAUCUCAAGAUAAUUAGCCACCUACCACACUGUAGCUCUUCUUCAUGUCUAUGGCCGAUGUAAGAGAUUGAGCUUUUUUGAAAAUUAAUGGAUAACCUUCAUAUUAGCUCAAAACAAGAGUGGAUGGUUUUCAAUACCGUAUAAUAAUCUUUUUUUGUGUUAAGGAAGACCAAUGUAUCGUCCGCAUAUUGCAAUAGUUUAGUGUCUCCACAAAUCCAUGGGUUCCCCAAUUCCUUAUAAUUUUUUUUCUUGAAGCCACAACGUUAAGCAUUCUACAAAGUGGAUCCACUGCAAGUAUGAACAAGAAAGAAAAGAGUGGGUCACCUUCAUGAGCCCCCGCUUGCAGAAAAUCCAGUCACUAAGCUCUUUGUUCCCGUUGACCACAAUUAUGGAUGAAAGUAGUAGAUUGGAGAUCCAAUUAAUCCAUCUUAUGGGAAAACUUCUCUUAACAAGAUGUCUAAUAAGAUAAGAGGGGCUAACUCUAUAAAAAGCCCUUAUGAAGUGAAGUGUGCAAAUCGCCUCCUCAAUGCUCGAUCUUCUUGAGUGGUGCAGAAUUUCAUUGGCAUAUAGAAAAUUGUCCUUCAUGUACUUUUCUUUAAUGUUGGCUGUGUGAGCGAGAUCAAUGAGAUCAUUAAAAAAAGGCUAGAGACAGUUGGACAUACCCUUCCAUAUGAUUUCGAUGCAGCUAUACGCAAGACUGAUGCGCCGGAAAUCGGAAGGGUCUUUUGUUGCUUCUUUCUUUGGAAUGAGGGCGAGUAAGGCAUAAUGGAAUCCUGCAAGGUCCAGAUUUCUACUGUAGAGUUGCCGAAAGAGAGAAAAGAUAUUAAUUUUUAUCAAGUUCCAGAAUCUUUGGAAGAAGUAGAGAGAGAAGCUGUUAGGCCUUGGACUUUUAUCUCCUUUGAAGCUAAACACAGUAUCCUUCACUUUUUUGAAGGAGAAAGCAGCCUCCAAAACAUCCAACACUAGUGAAGAAAUGGAAUAAAGUCGAUCCCAAUCAAGAUUAAACUCUAUCAUAGCAAAAAAAUAUUAAAUGGAUCAGACCUACUGUGGAUCCAAGAUAAAAUCAUCCAAACGUGUGUUGCUAUCGCACAUUAAAAGAAGAAGCAUGGGGAUAGAGGGGACGGGACAGAUUGAUUUCAUCCUAAAUUUAAUAAUUUCUUGGUCACGAUAGCUCUAUGAAAGAUACAUGACUCUUUACCGGUCCAUUGCUUGCUAGCUUGCGGGCCACCCGAUGAUUUGAGUUCGGAGGGGUGAUACCAUCAUCGCCGCGGUCGGUUUAUUUCCAUUUCCGUCAUUGUUGAUUAGAAAAGAUAAGCUUUCCACCUUAAGCAGGGCGUCCAAGUCCCCCAUCGAACUAAUCUCCAUCUCUCUCUUGGGUACCCCCACCCUCUGGUUAUUUUAAGAUGAAUUUUGAUGGUGGUAUGGCUAUGAAUAGAGCUUCUGGAGGAGUGGGCUUUGUUAUUAGGGACCAGCAUGGUAGAUUGAUUGCAGCUGGAGGUUAGAGCACACCAGGAUUGACGGUUGUUGGGCAGAGCUACAAGUUGCCUGGGAGGGCAUCCGAUAUGCGAGAUGUGUGUUGGGGGUCGACAGAUUAUGCAUUGAGGGAGACUCUGCCACGGUGAUUGACUGGAUACGGGGAGUCAAUAGAUAUGGUGACGACCACCCUUUGAUUUGGGAUACUCGCAGACUAGUUCAGGAGAUGUUAGCUGUCCAGAUUGGUCAUGUGUAUCGU
This is a non-coding RNA of Phoenix dactylifera (date palm), 5457 nucleotides long. Lineage: Eukaryota; Viridiplantae; Streptophyta; Magnoliopsida; Arecales; Arecaceae. The record is from RefSeq and is a predicted model, not a curated record.